AGGGGGACUCCGAGUGUGAGGGCAUAUAGCCCUCGCUUUUCUGUACCGUAAGGUGGUACAGGAACAAGGACUGGGCAAGACCGGUGCCAGCCGCCGCGGUAAUACCGGCAGUCCAAGUGAUGGCCGAUAUUAUUGGGCCUAAAGCGUCCGUAGCUUGCUGUGUAAGUCCAUUGGGAAAUCGACCAGCUCAACUGGUCGGCGUCCGGUGGAAACUACACAGCUUGGGGCCGAGAGACUCAACGGGUACGUCCGGGGUAGGAGUGAAAUCCUGUAAUCCUGGACGGACCACCAAUGGGGAAACCACGUUGAGAGACCGGACCCGACAGUGAGGGACGAAAGCCAGGGUCUCGAACCGGAUUAGAUACCCGGGUAGUCCUGGCUGUAAACAAUGCUCGCUAGGUAUGUCACGCGCCAUGAGCACGUGAUGUGCCGUAGUGAAGACGAUAAGCGAGCCGCCUGGGAAGUACGUCCGCAAGGAUGAAACUUAAAGGAAUUGGCGGGGGAGCACCACAACCGGAGGAGCCUGCGGUUUAAUUGGACUCAACGCCGGACAUCUCACCGGUCCCGACAGUAGUAAUGACAGUCAGGUUGACGACUUUACUCGACGCUACUGAGAGGAGGUGCAUGGCCGCCGUCAGCUCGUACCGUGAGGCGUCCUGUUAAGUCAGGCAACGAGCGAGACCCACACUUCUAGUUGCCAGCAAUACCCUUGUGGUAGUUGGGUACACUAGGAGGACUGCCAUUGCUAAAAUGGAGGAAGGAAUGGGCAACGGUAGGUCAGUAUGCCCCGAAUGGACCGGGCAACACGCGGGCUACAAUGGCUCUGACAGUGGGAUGCAACGCCGAGAGGCGAAGCUAAUCUCCAAACGGAGUCGUAGUUCGGAUUGCGGGCUGAAACCCGCCCGCAUGAAGCUGGAUUCGGUAGU
This 926-nucleotide ribosomal RNA is filed under the name uncultured Halobacteria archaeon. RNAcentral's name for it is "bacterial SSU rRNA". It matches the Rfam family "Archaeal small subunit ribosomal RNA", at positions 372 to 1295 of the family's 1478-position model. Lineage: Archaea; Methanobacteriati; Methanobacteriota; Halobacteria. The record is from RNAcentral.